UACAGAGGGUGCAAGCGUUAAUCGGAUUUACUGGGCGUAAAGCGUGAGUAGGUGGCUUCCUAAGUCGGUUGUGAAAUCCCUGGGCUUAACCUGGGAAUUGCAGUCGAUACUGGGAAGCUCGAGUUCGGUAGAGGGUGGCGGAAUUCCCGGUGUAGCGGUGAAAUGCGUAGAUAUCGAGAGGAACACCGGUGGCGAAGGCGGCCAUCUGGGCUGACACUGACGCUCAUGCACGAAAGCGUGGGGAGCAAACAGG
RNAcentral lists this ribosomal RNA (253 nucleotides) under uncultured bacterium. RNAcentral's name for it is "partial 16S ribosomal RNA". It matches the Rfam family "Bacterial small subunit ribosomal RNA", at positions 524 to 776 of the family's 1533-position model. The record is from RNAcentral.